UUAGGUUGGUGCAAAAGUAAUCACAGUUUUUCUGACAUUUAAAGUAAUGGAAAAAACUGCAAUUACUUUUGCACCAAC
Molecule: microRNA precursor, 78 nt
Filed under: Aotus nancymaae (Ma's night monkey)
Lineage: Eukaryota; Metazoa; Chordata; Mammalia; Primates; Aotidae
Description: miRNA (ENSANAG00000012355.1)
Source: RNAcentral